CAACCAUGAAGCCUAGCGAUUGGUUGACUGAGUGGCGGACGGGUGAGUAACGCGUGGGUAACCUGCCUCAUACAGGGGGACAACAGUUAGAAAUGACUGCUAAUACCGCAUAACCCGCUAGGGCCGCAUGGCCCGGACGGAAAAGGAGCAAUCCGGUAUGAGAUGGACCCGCGUCUGAUUAGCUGGUUGGUGGGGUAACGGCCCACCAAGGCGACGAUCAGUAGCCGGACUGAGAGGUUGAACGGCCACAUUGGGACUGAGAUACGGCCCAGACUCC
RNAcentral lists this ribosomal RNA (277 nucleotides) under uncultured Eubacteriales bacterium. RNAcentral's name for it is "uncultured Clostridiales bacterium partial 16S ribosomal RNA". It matches the Rfam family "Bacterial small subunit ribosomal RNA", at positions 59 to 339 of the family's 1533-position model. Lineage: Bacteria; Bacillati; Bacillota; Clostridia; Eubacteriales. The record is from RNAcentral.